This 88-nucleotide transfer RNA is filed under the name Pseudobdellovibrionaceae bacterium. RNAcentral describes it as "Bdellovibrionaceae bacterium (sponge metagenome) tRNA-Leu". It matches the Rfam family "tRNA". From Rfam's summary of the family: Transfer RNA (tRNA) molecules are approximately 80 nucleotides in length. Their secondary structure includes four short double-helical elements and three loops (D, anti-codon, and T loops). Further hydrogen bonds mediate the characteristic L-shaped molecular structure. tRNAs have two regions of fundamental functional importance: the anti-codon, which is responsible for specific mRNA codon recognition, and the 3' end, to which the tRNAs corresponding amino acid is attached (by aminoacyl-tRNA synthetases). tRNAs cope with the degeneracy of the genetic code in two manners: having more than one tRNA (with a specific anti-codon) for a particular amino acid; and 'wobble' base-pairing, i.e. permitting non-standard base-pairing at the 3rd anti-codon position. Lineage: Bacteria; Pseudomonadati; Bdellovibrionota; Bdellovibrionia; Bdellovibrionales; Pseudobdellovibrionaceae. The record is from RNAcentral. RNAcentral also lists the same sequence under 1 other name.
GCCCCGGUGGCGGAAUUGGUAGACGCACAGGACUUAAAAUCCUGCGGCCUUUUUGGCCGUGCCAGUUCAAGUCUGGCCCGGGGCACCA